UACAGAGGUGGCAAGCGUUGUUCGGAAUUACUGGGCGUAAAGGGCGCGUAGGCGGCCUGGCAAGUGGAAGGUGAAAUCCCUCGGCUUAACCGAGGAACUGCCUCCCAAACUGCUUGGCUUGAGACCGGGAGAGGUGAGUGGAAUUCCCAGUGUAGCGGUGAAAUGCGUAGAUAUUGGGAGGAACACCAGUGGCGAAGGCGGCUCACUGGACCGGUACUGACGCUGAUGCGCGAAAGCGUGGGGAGCAAACGGG
This 253-nucleotide ribosomal RNA is filed under the name uncultured bacterium. RNAcentral describes it as "partial 16S ribosomal RNA". It matches the Rfam family "Bacterial small subunit ribosomal RNA", at positions 524 to 776 of the family's 1533-position model. The record is from RNAcentral.